This 319-nucleotide long non-coding RNA is filed under the name Nicotiana tabacum (common tobacco). RNAcentral describes it as "long non-coding RNA (NTAB_LNC011212)". The record is from RNAcentral. Lineage: Eukaryota; Viridiplantae; Streptophyta; Magnoliopsida; Solanales; Solanaceae.
CUGUCUCGUCUUCUACGUUUCAACGCCAUAGAUUUGACGGCAAAUUUUCAACAGGUAUUCUCACGCGCCGCCGCCGACCGCCGACCGCCAUGUAGAGUUGUUUCUGCUUCAUCUAAUGGACGAUACUGUUGAAGUUGUACACCAAGUACACACUUGAUUCUUCCCGCUGUCGGUUUCAAUGGACUCCUCAAAAUUAUCAAAUCCUCAAUCCAUGCGAGUCCUAAUUCGACCUCCAAAUCCACCUACCCACCCCCAAGUUCCACCCCCUCCUCCCCACCCACCUCCAUCAGAUGCAACACCCACCUCGUCCGCUCCACUC